Molecule: ribosomal RNA, 411 nt
Filed under: uncultured bacterium
Lineage: Bacteria
Description: bacterial SSU rRNA
Rfam family: Bacterial small subunit ribosomal RNA
Source: RNAcentral
AAUGGGGGAAACCCUGACGCAGCAACGCCGCGUGAGUGAGGAAGGCCUUCGGGUCGUAAAGCUCUGUCAGAUGGGAAGAAAUGGGUGGGGGCUAAUAUCGUCCAUCCUUGACGGUACCAUCAGAGGAAGCACCGGCUAACUCCGUGCCAGCAGCCGCGGUAAUACGGGGGGUGCAAGCGUUGUUCGGAAUCAUUGGGCGUAAAGCGCGCGCAGGCGGCUUGGUAAGUCAGAUGUGAAAUCCCUGGGCUUAACCCAGGAAGUGCAUUUGAUACUGCCUCGCUAGAGUACGGGAGAGGAAAGUGGAAUUCCUGGUGUAGAGGUGAAAUUCGUAGAUAUCAGGAGGAACACCGGUGGCGAAGGCGACUUUCUGGCCCGAUACUGACGCUCAGGCGCGAAAGCGUGGGGAGCAAA